This 806-nucleotide ribosomal RNA is filed under the name Escherichia coli. RNAcentral's name for it is "bacterial SSU rRNA". It matches the Rfam family "Bacterial small subunit ribosomal RNA", at positions 702 to 1533 of the family's 1533-position model. Lineage: Bacteria; Pseudomonadati; Pseudomonadota; Gammaproteobacteria; Enterobacterales; Enterobacteriaceae. The record is from RNAcentral.
UCCUGCUACGGUGGCGAGCGGCCCCUGGACGAGACUGACGCUCAGGUGCGAAAGCGUGGGGAGCAAACAGGAUUAGAUACCCUGGUAGUCCACGCCGUAAACGAUGUCGACUUGGAGGUUGUGCCCUUGAGGCGUGGCUUCCGGAGCUAACGCGUUAAGUCGACCGCCUGGGGAGUACGGCCGCAAGGUUAAAACUCAAAUGAAUUGACGGGGGCCCGCACAAGCGGUGGAGCAUGUGGUUUAAUUCGAUGCAACGCGAAGAACCUUACCUGGUCUUGACAUCCACGGAAGUUUUCAGAGAUGAGAAUGUGCCUUCGGGAACCGUGAGACAGGUGCUGCAUGGCUGUCGUCAGCUCGUGUUGUGAAAUGUUGGGUUAAGUCCCGCAACGAGCGCAACCCUUAUCCUUUGUUGCCAGCGGUCCGGCCGGGAACUCAAAGGAGACUGCCAGUGAUAAACUGGAGGAAGGUGGGGGAUGACGUCAAGUCAUCAUGGCCCUUACGACCAGGGCUACACACGUGCUACAAUGGCGCAUACAAAGAGAAGCGACCUCGCGAGAGCAAGCGGACCUCAUAAAGUGCGUCGUAGUCCGGAUUGGAGUCUGCAACUCGACUCCAUGAAGUCGGAAUCGCUAGUAAUCGUGGAUCAGAAUGCCACGGUGAAUACGUUCCCGGGCCCUUGUACACACCGCCCGUCACACCAUGGGAGUGGGUUUGCAAAAGAAGUAGGUAGCUUAACCCUUCGGGAGGGCGCUUACCACUUUGUGAUUCAUGACUGGGGUGAAGUCGUACAGGUAUAACCCGUUAAG